AAUUCUCAACUCUCCUAUACUGUUUUGUAUAGGAGGGCUUGGAUUGUGGAGGUCUGCUGGCCACUUGUAUGAGGUCAGCUCCUCUGAAAUGCAUUAGCGGAACCGUUUGCGAUCUGCCACAAGUGUGAUAAAUUAUCUACACUGGCGAGGGGAUUGCUCUCUGUAUUGUUCAGCUUCUAAUUGUCUCCACUUUGUGGGACUACUUUUGAAU
RNAcentral lists this unclassified non-coding RNA (211 nucleotides) under uncultured Agaricus. RNAcentral describes it as "sequence contains ITS2". The record is from RNAcentral. Lineage: Eukaryota; Fungi; Basidiomycota; Agaricomycetes; Agaricales; Agaricaceae.